Molecule: ribosomal RNA, 253 nt
Filed under: uncultured bacterium
Lineage: Bacteria
Description: partial 16S ribosomal RNA
Rfam family: Bacterial small subunit ribosomal RNA
Source: RNAcentral
UACGUAGGGUGCAAGCGUUGUCCGGAAUUAUUGGGCGUAAAGAGCUCGUAGGCGGUUUGUCGCGUCUGCUGUGAAAACCCGAGGCUCAACCUCGGGCCUGCCGUGGGUACGGGCAGACUAGAGUGCGGUAGGGGAGAUUGGAAUUCCUGGUGUAGCGGUGGAAUGCGCAGAUAUCAGGAGGAACACCAGUGGCGAAGGCGGUUGCCUGGGGCUUUGCUGACGCUGAUGCGCGAAAGCGUGGGGAGCGAUCCGG